AUGCAUUUCGCCAUGUCGCCCGACAGCCUCCUCCUCUUCUACGCCGUCGCGGCGGCCGUCACCGCCGCCUUCGGCCUCUUCUCGCUGUACAAGCACCUCUUGCGCCGCCGGCGGCACAACCCCCGCGCGGAGGCUCCGGACGGGGACCCGGAGGAGCGCCUGCCGCUCGCCGUGAUUACGGUGGCGUCGAGCCUUCUCCCACCGUUCAUGUACAACCGGCUCGUCCGGCACAGUGGCAAGGACGACGCCGGCUCGGCGGAGUGCGCGGUCUGCCUCGCCGCCAUCCGGGUCGGCGCCAUGGCGAAGCUGCUGCCGGCGUGCGCCCACGUGUACCACGUCGAGUGCAUCGACCUGUGGCUGGCCUCGCACUCGACGUGCCCUCUCUGCCGGUGCAGGGUCGGCGAUGAUCGCUCGGCUCAGGACCUUGCUUGUCUUUCACCUGCAUAG
RNAcentral lists this ribosomal RNA (447 nucleotides) under Triticum aestivum (bread wheat). RNAcentral's name for it is "partial small subunit ribosomal RNA". Lineage: Eukaryota; Viridiplantae; Streptophyta; Magnoliopsida; Poales; Poaceae. The record is from RNAcentral.